This 441-nucleotide ribosomal RNA is filed under the name Clinocentrus sp. RDB-2000. RNAcentral describes it as "eukaryotic LSU rRNA". Lineage: Eukaryota; Metazoa; Arthropoda; Insecta; Hymenoptera; Braconidae. The record is from RNAcentral.
CCUGAGAAACCCAAAAGAUCGAAUGGGGAGAUUCAUUGUCAGCUCAUUUUGUAUAUGUAUCGAGUUACGAUGCGGGUUACUACUUGUAGUAUUGCCUGUACGUUCCUUGUGCAUUUAGUUGCAAGAUGUUGUCGGCGUGCACUUCUUCCCUAGUAGAACGUCGCGACCCAUUGAGAGUUGGUCUACGGCCCAAGUGGUAGCCUGUGAUGUUUAAAAUCAUUGCAGACCCUUGGUGUUUUCUGACCGACUACUCGGUGGUACACGUACGGUAUUAAGCCGCACAUUUAAUAUGCGUCCAUGCCCGUCGCAAGCGAGGCCAAUUUCUGGUAGUACGGACUUAGUGCUGUCGCUGGUAUUGGCCAGCUGUUGGUUGUACGGUGUUCUGGGACUGGCUUAAAUUAAUUACCGGUCGGCGAUGCUACUGCUUUGGGUACUUUCAGG